UUGCUAUUUUCAUGAAGAGCGGCGAACGGGUGAGUAACGCGUGGGAAAUCUGCCGAGUAGCGGGGGACAACGUUUGGAAACGAACGCUAAUACCGCAUAACAAUGAGAAUCACAUGAUUCUUAUUUGAAAGAAGCAAUUGCUUCACUACUUGAUGAUCCCGCGUUGUAUUAGCUAGUUGGUAGUGUAAAGGACUACCAAGGCGAUGAUACAUAGCCGACCUGA
Molecule: ribosomal RNA, 223 nt
Filed under: Lactococcus formosensis
Lineage: Bacteria; Bacillati; Bacillota; Bacilli; Lactobacillales; Streptococcaceae
Description: partial 16S ribosomal RNA
Rfam family: Bacterial small subunit ribosomal RNA
Source: RNAcentral